This 771-nucleotide non-coding RNA is filed under the name Operophtera brumata (winter moth). The record is from RNAcentral. Lineage: Eukaryota; Metazoa; Arthropoda; Insecta; Lepidoptera; Geometridae.
AUUUUUUAUGAUUUUAUGAAUUUAUUAAGAGUUUAUUUUACAUAUAAAUUUUAGUGUUAAUUUUUAAUUAUUUUAAUAAUAAUUAAUUAAGAUUGUAGUAAUUAGUAUUAAAAAUUUAAGAAAUUAGGAUUUAGUAAUAUUAAAAUUAAUAACAAAUUUUGUGCCAGCAGUUGCGGUUAUACAAAAAUUAAAUUAAAUUUUUUUAGAUAUUAAUUAAUAAAAAAUUAUUUAUAAGAAAAAUUAAAUUAUUAGGUGAAAUUUUAAUUUAAUAAAAUUUAUAUUUUUAUUUAUGAAAUUAAUAAAUUUAAAUUAAAAACUAGGAUUAGAUACCCUAUUAUUUUAAAUUUAAAAUUUUAUUCUAAAAUAGUAUGUAAUUAUUUAUUGAAACUUAAAUAAUUUGGCGGUAUUUUAGUUUAUUUAGAGGAAUCUGUUUAUUAAUUGAUAAUCCACGAUUAAAUUUACUUAAUUUAUUAUUUUGUAUAUCGUUGUUAAAAAAAUAUUUUUUAAUAAAAAUAAUAUUUAAAAAUUAAAAUUAAAAAUUAAAUCAGAUCAAGAUGCAGAUUAUAAUUAAGAAUAUAAUGGAUUACAAUAAAUUUAUUUAAAUGAAUGUUAAUUUGUAAAAUUUAAUUGAAGGUGGAUUUAAAUGUAAUUUUAUUUAAUAUAAUAUAAUGAUUAAAAAUUAAAAUAUGUACAUAUUGCCCGUCACUUUCAUAUAUAAAAUUGAAAUAAGUCGUAACAAAGUAGAGGUACUGGAAAGUGUUUCUAGAAAGA